RNAcentral lists this ribosomal RNA (429 nucleotides) under Pseudomonadota bacterium. RNAcentral describes it as "Proteobacteria bacterium partial 16S ribosomal RNA". It matches the Rfam family "Bacterial small subunit ribosomal RNA", at positions 355 to 776 of the family's 1533-position model. The record is from RNAcentral. Lineage: Bacteria; Pseudomonadati; Pseudomonadota.
UGGGGAAUAUUGGACAAUGGGCGAAAGCCUGAUCCAGCCAUGCCGCGUGUGUGAAGAAGGUCUUCGGAUUGUAAAGCACUUUAAGUUGGGAGGAAGGGCAGUAAGCGAAUACCUUGCUGUUUUGACGUUACCGACAGAAUAAGCACCGGCUAACUCUGUGCCAGCAGCCGCGGUAAUACAGAGGGUGCAAGCGUUAAUCGGAAUUACUGGGCGUAAAGCGCGCGUAGGCGGUUCGUUAAGUUGAAUGUGAAAGCCCCGGGCUCAACCUGGGAACUGCAUCCAAAACUGGCGAGCUAGAGUAGGGCAGAGGGUGGUGGAAUUUCCUGUGUAGCGGUGAAAUGCGUAGAUAUAGGAAGGAACACCAGUGGCGAAGGCGACCACCUGGGCUCAUACUGACACUGAGGUGCGAAAGCGUGGGGAGCAAACAGG